CUCAAUUUGCCAUCACCGCCGAUGGAAUCGCGCACUCUGAAUCCGCGCUUCCACGCCGCUCCUCCUCCAUCUCCCUCUCUCUGGAGCGUCCGUAUCUCGUCAGUUUUUGGGUUCUCCCACCGCAUCGAGGACCACCAGAUCCGAAGGUAUUUGAGAAGGGUGAUCUCAUUCAAGCCCCGAGGCGUCGCUAGAGUGUAAGAGUACAUCUCUUGGGAGGUGAAUGAACUCAAUGCUCUGAGGGUGGGAAGGCGCCAAUUACCAUGGGCUUCACAUAUUCGAGUAGGAGCAAACGCCUCAGCGGUGCAUGACUAUGCUGGAGGACUGGGUGCUGUUACAAACUCAAGUGCAUCUAACUGGGGUGUAUUUUAUGGGACACAUCAGACUAGGUCCACGUACAAACUGAUAUAUGCUUAGAACUUUAAUUUGUUGUCAUUUUGUCAAUCUCUUGUACUUGUUAAACAAUUUGAUUUGAUGAUACUUUUAUCAAUUUUGCUCA
This is a long non-coding RNA of Musa acuminata subsp. malaccensis (wild Malaysian banana), 496 nucleotides long. RefSeq lists it as uncharacterized. The record is from RefSeq and is a predicted model, not a curated record. NCBI's taxonomy places the organism in Eukaryota, Viridiplantae, Streptophyta, Magnoliopsida, Zingiberales, Musaceae.